GCUGGGUUAUGGCUCAGUGGUAGAGCGCUUGCCUAUCAUGUAUGAGGCGUUGGGUUUGAUUCUCAGCACAGCA
RNAcentral lists this transfer RNA (73 nucleotides) under Marmota monax (woodchuck). RNAcentral's name for it is "tRNA.Asp". Lineage: Eukaryota; Metazoa; Chordata; Mammalia; Rodentia; Sciuridae. The record is from RNAcentral.